RNAcentral lists this long non-coding RNA (2152 nucleotides) under Calidris pugnax (ruff). RNAcentral's name for it is "lncRNA (ENSCPUG00000001405.1)". The record is from RNAcentral. Lineage: Eukaryota; Metazoa; Chordata; Aves; Charadriiformes; Scolopacidae.
GACUGGGAGCGCUAGGAGCCAUACUGGUGUCACUGGUGUCACCGGGAGCCUUACUGGGAGCACUGGGAGCCUUAGUGGUGUCACUGGGAGGGCACUGGGACCUGUACUGGGAGCACUGGGAGCCUUACUGGGAGUACUGGGAGCUGUAGGAGCCAGACUGGGGGCACUGGGAUCCAUACUGGGGGCACUGGGAGCCAAACUGGUAUUACUGGGAUCCAUACUGGGAGCACUGGGAGGGCACUGGGAGCCCUUACUGGGAGCACUGGGAGCCAAACUGGUGUCACUGGGAGCCUUACUGGUGUAACUGGGAAGGGACUGGGACCUGUACUGGGAGCUCUGGGAGCUGUAGGAGCCAGACUGGGAGCACUGGGAGCCCUUACUGGUGUUACUGGGAGCCAAACUGGGAGCACUGGUUUCCCUUUUCCCCCAAACUGGGAGCACUGGGAGGGCACUGGGACCCAUACUGGUGUAACUGGGAUCCAUACUGGUGUCACUGGUGCGAGUGGGAGCCUUACUGGGAGCACAGGUUUCCCUCUUACCCCUUACUGGGAGCACUGGGAGCCCUUACUGGUGUUACUGGGAGCACUGGUUUCCCCCUCACCCCAUACUGGGAGCACUGGGAGCCUUACUGGUGCCACUGGGAGCCAAACUGGGAGCACUGGUUUCCCUUUUCCCCCAAACUGGGAGCACUGGGAUCCCCCUCACCCCAUACUGGGAGCACUAGGAGCCCUUACUGGUGUCACUGGUGUCACUGGGAGCCUUACUGCUCUUACUGGGAAGGGACUGGGAUCCUUACUGGGAGCACUGGGAUCCUUACUGGUGCUACUGGGACCCAGACUGGUGUUACUGGUGUCACUGGGAUCCUUACUGGUCUUACUGGGAAGGGACUGGGAGCCAGACUGGGAGCACUGGAAGCCUUACUGGUGUUACUGGGAACACUGGGAAGGGACUGGGAGCAAUUUUUCUCCAUACUGGGAGCACUGGGAGCCCUUACUGGUGUCACUGGGAAGGGGCUGGGAGCCCUUACUGGGAGCACUGGGAGCUGUAGGAUCCAUACUGGGGGCACUGGGACCCAUACUGGUGUAACUGGGAGCCAGACUGGUGUCACUGGUGUCACUGGGAUCCUUACUGGUGUCACUGGUGUCACUGGGAGCCUUACUGGUUUUACUGGGAAGGGACUGGGAGCCUUACUGGGAGCACUGGGAGCCAAACUGGGAGCACUGGGAUCCAUACUGGUGUCACUGGGACCCUUACUGGUGCUACUGGGACCCAUACUGGUUUUACUGGUGGCACUGGUUUCCCUUUUCCCCCAAACUGGGAGCACUGGGAUGCCCCUCACCCCAUACUGGUGUCACUGGGAGCCUUACUGGGAGCACUGGGAGGGCACUGGUGUCCAUACUGGUGUCACUGGCGUAACUGGGAGCCAUACUGGUCUUACUGGGAAGGGACUGGGAGCCAAACUGGGAGGACUGGGAGCACUGGGACCCUUACUGGUGUCACUGGGAUCCUUACUGGGAGGAGUGGGGGGGCACUGGGACCCAUACUGGUGUCACUGGUGUCACUGGCAGCCAAACUGGUCUUACUGGGAAGGGGCUGGGAGCCUUACUGGGAGCACUGGGAGCUGUAGGAGCCAGACUGGGAGGGCACUGGUGUCACUGGGAUCCUUACUGGGAGCACUGGGAGCCUUACUGGUGUGACUGGUGUCACUGGGAGCCAAACUGGGAGCACUGGGAGCUGUAGGAGCUGGACUGGUGUCACUGGGAAGGGACUGGGAGCCUUACUGGUGUCACUGGGUCCUUACUGGUGUCACUGGGAUCCUUACUGGUUUUACUGGUGUCACUGGGAGCCAUACUGGUCUUACUGGGAGCCUUACUGGGAGCACUGGUUUCCCUCUUACCCCUUACUGGGAGCACUGGGAGCCCUUACUGGUGUUACUGGGAGCCAAACUGGGAGCACUGGUUUUCCUCUUAUCCUGUACUGGUGUCACUGGGAGCCCUUACUGGUGUCACUGGUGUCACUGGGAGACCUUACUGGGAGCACUGGGAUCCUUACUGGUGUCACUGGGAGCCUUACUGGUUUUACUGGUGUCACUGGGAUCCUUACUGGCAGCACUGGUGUCACUGGGAGUCAUACUGGUCUUACUGGGAAGGGA